Molecule: long non-coding RNA, 366 nt
Filed under: Mytilus galloprovincialis (Mediterranean mussel)
Lineage: Eukaryota; Metazoa; Mollusca; Bivalvia; Mytilida; Mytilidae
Source: RNAcentral
GUCCCACGCUGUCAAGAUUUUUGGUAUCUUUUUUUUCACCGCCCGUAGACUACAGGAAUUAUCUUUCCUUUUUUUCUUCUAACAUUUACUUGUAUAAAUCAAAUCCUAUAGAAAUUCUUUUUUUUUUUUGCACAUCCCCAAUAUGUGCAAUACGUAGUAAAAGUAGCGUGCAAAGAAUUAGUUUGAAGUUAAUUUAUUGUUCCGUAACAACAACCAAUCAGUCAGUAAACUUCAUAUUUUAAUAUGUUGUGUACAGUAACUAUUUUACGUUCCUGUAGGAAAGUGCCAGAUAACAGAUUUUGUAAAACUUCCCCGUUGUUAUAAUACUUGAAUAAACGGUAUUUAUUGAAUUAGCUUUAAAUUUCU